Molecule: long non-coding RNA, 3972 nt
Organism: Cavia porcellus (domestic guinea pig)
Lineage: Eukaryota; Metazoa; Chordata; Mammalia; Rodentia; Caviidae
Exons: 2
Source: RefSeq, a predicted model, not a curated record
GGCCCGGGCGUAGCCCCGCCCCCGCGCAUGCUCACGCGCAUCCUUGAGCUCCCGCGGCGCGCGCGAGGCCCGAGCGUCGGGCGGCUGCGUGGUAGCUGCUGGCUCAGUUUCCUCCCCAGGUGUGAUAGCUGCUAAAUCCUGGAGACAGUAGGCUUCCGGGAAUAGUUGACGCCGGAAUACAGAAGAAGCUGACAGUUCGAAAUCAAGCUUUAAAUGAACGUUUCUGCUGGUCAGCUUGCGUUCAUCCGACCCCAUGCUGUGGGUGGGCCCCCGAGUGACCCAGCGGGGCGCGGAGACCUGCAAUGGCAGGACCCCGAGUGGUCGGCAAGGGGCUGUGCAGGGUGAAAACGUACAGGAGCCCUGGGUAAAAAGAUUCUAAAGCUGCCCUUAAGUAUAUGAGGUGAGGGGAAGGAGAGGUUCAGUCUUAGACCUGUCUCCCCCAUACUGAAAUCCAUGGUGCACCAAUAUUUUAUAUGAAAUCCUGCUGAAUUUGCAUAUGACCUCAGUACAUUCUCAUGUAUUUUGUAAAUCGUCUAGAUUCAAUGGAAAUCCUGUGAACAUAGUUCUAUACAUAUCUGUCAGGGAAUCCUGACAGCGGGGAAAUCUGUACAUGUUCAGUACAGACACAACCUUCUGCCCCCAUCCUGUGAAUAUUUUAGACCCGUGGUUGGUGAAUCUGCAGAUGGGGCGCCCAUGGGGAUGAGGGGCUUAAAUGUUUUGUUUUGUUUGAGACAGGGUUCCCCUGUGUAGUGUAGGUUACCCCUGAACUCAAUGUAGCCCAGGCUGGCCUUGAGCUCACGGGGGAUCCUCCUGUCUCAUCCUCCGUAGUUCACGGAUUAUAGGCCUGCACUACUACUCCGAGCUGAAGGGCUUAUUAUAGGGAGACCUACAUCCCAAAUACACAUUAUGCCAGUAAAAACAAUAUAUUCCUCUCAGGCAUAAUCUCAGGAUGAAUAAAUCUAAGAUGUAGCUAAGUCAGGAACUUAUGGGAUCACUGUGUGGAAGGAGGGUGGUAUCUUCUGACCAAGCAGGGCUGGGUCUUUUGCUUUCUGUAGGGGAAACGGGGCAGAGUCAGCCCUUUCCAACCAAAUGUCCCAAGAAUCCUGCUGAGAGCACUUCCCAGAAGAAAUCCAAGGCACUGUUUUUCAGAAGGAAGAUAAGGAUGCAGUACUGGCUGACACGGGGCCACCGCUGGUGCCUCCUCAGCCACAUCUUGCCAUCCUCCUCUCCCUUGUCUGCCUUUUACCAGCUCUGUCACCGUCAGUCUCCUACACAGGGCCCUCACUGUUGGGACUGGCUUUUACUCAAGGAAGCAAACUCCUGGACCAGGGCAGCUAGUGCCUCCUGGGCCAAAACUGGAAGAGGACUGCACUUAAGACCUCUUAAGGAGAACUGAAGCUUUGUACCCGUGAAGCAACUCCACCUUCUCCUUGCUCUCAGCCCCUGACGGUUGCCCUUCUACUUUGAUUCUUUGAAGUCCACUGUUGGGCAGCUCGUGUAAGUGCAGUCACACAGUUAUUUGUCCUUUUGUGAGUGGUUAUUUCGCUUAGCAUCAUCAUCCAGGUUCCUCCAUGCUGUGGCAUGUGUCAGGAUUUCCUUCUCUUUAAAGUAAAGGCUGAGUAAUUUACCUGUGCUGCUGCUGCAUCCACUCGUGGGUGGCUGGGUGCUGGAUGGCUGCUGCCUUUUGGCUGCUGCCAGAUGCCUCCAGGAGCCUUCAGCCUUUCUAUGCCUGUACUCAGGAGUGGAGUUGCCAGGUACAAUGGCAAUUUGAUGCUUCUAUACUGCUAAUCAUAGCAGCUGCAUCAUUCUGCAGUCCCACCAACGGCAUGCAAGGGUUUCGUUUUCUCCACAUGCCUGCCAAUAUCUGUCUGCUGUUUGCGUUCAGCAGCAGCCAUCCUGAUGCAUGUGAGGUGGUGUCUCCUUGUGGUUUUGAUUCUCAUUUCCCUGGUACUUAGUGAUGUCGAGCACCUUUCCAUGUGCUCCCUGGCCAUUUGUAAAACUCCUUUGGAUGAAGCCACUUCUAAAAUGCUUACUUAAGUUUUCUUUAAAAACUGAACUAAUUAAAAGUGUGGGAUAAAUGGGCUGGGGAUUUAACUCAGUGGCAUAAGCACCUGCUUUGCAAGUCACAGUCCUGAGUUCAAUCUGGGUACAAAAAAGAAAAGUGUAAGGUAAAUAAAAGUCCAGAGGCUGGGCAAGGCCCGCCUCCUGGAAGGCGCUGCUGAGGCCUGACUCGGUGUGCCUUUGAACCCCGCUGGUCUGAGCGAGGCCUUUCUCUUAUUAUUGACUUAGACCUUUUUGUCACCAUUCCUUGAAUCCGAGGCAACCAUUCUAAUGCAUUUAAUAUGCUUUUUGGUUUGUGGUGUUGUAAGAUGUAUGUUGUACAGCAUGCAACAGUGUUGAGUUGUAGAUGUCAUUCUGUUUUCCAUUCUUUUCACCCAAUAGUGUGUUUUUUUAAAGAAAAAAACCCUUUCCUUACAUUUAUUAAUUUUUAUAUCAAAUCAUAUCCCCAAAAAGUACAAAAGCCUUAUAUGUAAUACCAGAGUUUUCCAACGCAAAAACACCUUAGAGCACAGUGGCUCCACUGGAGUGGAAAUGUGUCAGCUUUCGCCCUUCAGUGUCACCUCAGUCCCUCUCUCCUGUCCUCUCCCUGAGUGCUCCGUCCUCCUUGGGUCUUGGUCUGUGUUUGCACUUCCACUGCUGCUGCUGACCCCGCUCCUUCCCCAUGCUGUGGCACAGGAGAGCCUCCAUGGAGACCCAGCGCAGGCCUGUGGGGAGGACCCUGCAGUCCUUGGGACUGCUGCCUGCGAUCUGUGCAGGUGUGAGAUGCAUCUGUGUUGGCCAGGCACCCUUGCACUCAGUGUGUAGGGCCAUCUCCUCCUGGGGAAGGACUGGAGGAAGCUAUCUCCACUUCCCAUGGUGGCUUUACAGGAGACAAGCAGAGAGACAGGCCUUAGGUCAUGGAGCACAGCCUCUGGGCCACCAGACUGCACACAAGGAAAGGACUCUAGGAAGUGUAGAGGACAUUAUUUUAACAAUGCUAUGCACAUUUAACAUUACCUUUUACUUUGCAGCAAAGCGACUUAGCUUUCAGUGAUAGUCAUGGCACCUGUCUUCCAACAGUGAGUGUCUUAAGACAAAGCAUAAUGAGGAGUCAUCACAUGGAACCCAGGAGUGAUGAGAUCCUAAACUUGUGUGCAGUGUCAAAAUAUAGGAAAUACUGACUGAAAAAGAGUAGAGGACCCCAGAACUGACUUCAUAUCGUUGAUGUGCUAGAGAUGAUUGUUAAAUAUUCAGCAAUUUUUGAGGCUGGUACCCUGAAAUUGACUGAGGCAUUAGGGUAAUAAUUAUACCAUGGAAACUGGCAACCAUUAGAAAUUGCAAUAUUCUUGUGAUCUGUCUCCGUCUUUUUUUCUCCUUCCUCUCCUCUCUCUCCUCCGUCUGUCUUCCUCAUUUUCAGAAUGCCAUUGGCUCAAAUCAUUUAUGCCAACUUCUGUUACCUUUUGUCCUUUUUGGGUACUCCCUCUGUGAGAUGGAGGUGGUGGUCUGUCUCUCCUUUCUUCUCCCUCCUCUCUCAUCCUCCCAGAUGCAGGUGAGGUGAUGGAUGCCUAGAAGCUAUAGCUCCUGUCAGUACCCUGUUUCCUUGUGACUCAUUGCUGCGAGGACCAGGACUGGCCUGGUGAGGACUGAAGCGCUGCCCUCCCACAGGCAUUGCCUGGAGCAGGGGGCAGUCAGUUCCCUGAAGACACUCAGGCCAGUCAGCACCCUCUUUCCCUAACUGGGUGGGGUGGUGCGUGCCUGUGACACUAACACUUAUGAGGCUGAGGCAGGAGGACUGCAAGUUGGAACCCAGCCUGGGCAACUUUAUGACUUAGUAAAACUUGUCUUAAAAUAAAAAAUAGAAAACAACUGGGGAUGUGGCUUUGGGUUCAAUCUCUUACACACCAAGAAAAUAAAGUUUGAAUUAUUUUGUGA